AGUGAACGCUGGCGGUAGGCCUAACACAUGCAAGUCGAACGGCAGCACAGUAAGAGCUUGCUCUUACGGGUGGCGAGUGGCGGACGGGUGAGGAAUACAUCGGAAUCUACUUUUUCGUGGGGGAUAACGCAGGGAAACUUACGCUAAUACCGCAUACGACCUACGUGUGAAAGCAGGGGAUCUUCGGACCUUGCGCGAGUGAAUGAGCCGCUGUCGGAUUAGCUAGUUGGCGGGGUAAAGGCCCACCAGGGCGACGAUCCGUAGCUGGUCUGAGAGGAUGAUCAGCCACACUGGAACUGAGACACGGUACAGACACCGACGGGAGGCAGCAGUGGGGAAUAUUGGACAAUGGGCGCAAGCCUGAUCCAGCCAUACCGCGUGGGGGAAGAAGGCCUUCGGGUUGUAGAGCCCUUUUGUUGGGAAAGAAAAGCAGCAGGUUAAUACCCCGCUGUUCUGACGGUACCCAAAGAAUAAGCACCGGCUAACUUCGUG
Molecule: ribosomal RNA, 492 nt
Filed under: uncultured bacterium
Lineage: Bacteria
Description: partial 16S ribosomal RNA
Rfam family: Bacterial small subunit ribosomal RNA
Source: RNAcentral